AGAACGAACGCUGGCGGCAUGCCUAACACAUGCAAGUCGAACGUGAUCCAGGCUUCGGCCUGGUGAAAGUGGCAGACGGGUGAGUAACGCGUGGGAACCUGCCCUGUGGUAGGGAAUAACCGUGGGAAACUGCGGCUAAUACCCUAUGAGUCCUUCGGGAGAAAGAUUUAUCGCCAUAGGAGGGGCCCGCGUCGGAUUAGGUAGUUGGUGGGGUAACGGCCUACCAAGCCUUCGAUCCGUAGCUGGUCUGAGAGGAUGAUCAGCCACACUGGGACUGAGAUACGGCCCAGACUCCUACGGGAGGCAGCAGUGGGGAAUAUUGGACAAUGGGGGCAACCCUGAUCCAGCAAUGCCGCGUGGAUGAUGAAGGCCUUCGGGUUGUAAAGUCUUUUCGGCGGGGAAGAUGAUGACGGUACCCGCAGAAGAAGCCCCGGCUAACUUCGUGCCAGCAGCCGC
Molecule: ribosomal RNA, 456 nt
Filed under: uncultured bacterium
Lineage: Bacteria
Description: SSU rRNA
Rfam family: Bacterial small subunit ribosomal RNA
Source: RNAcentral